RNAcentral lists this unclassified non-coding RNA (439 nucleotides) under Hevea brasiliensis (rubber tree). The record is from RNAcentral. Lineage: Eukaryota; Viridiplantae; Streptophyta; Magnoliopsida; Malpighiales; Euphorbiaceae.
AAAAAAUGGUGAGUUUGAAGAGUAGUUGCAGGUGUGAGUUACUGCUUUUUUCCCCCAUUAUUCCCUUCAAUUUUCAGUGAUUUCUCUCUUUUCAUGUUUUAAAAGCAACCCCUUUUCUUCAAGUUCCAUUCUUGAAGUCUGUAUUGAUGAUUACAGCUGUUGUUUGCUCAGUUGUUGUAGUUGUUAAUUUAAUGCCCUCUUUCUCUUAUUUUACUAAUAAAGAUCCAAUCUUUAUUACUGAGUUAGCUCAACUGCUUAACAAAGCCUUGAUAUCUGCUCUAGACAGGGAAUAUUGGUACCCCAUUAUUUGAACUUCAGCAAUAUUGUUGCCUGAUUGAGAUAUGACCCAUUUGUUGAAUUGAUUUUGUCAUUCUUGAAUUGGUAGAAGAUGACUGUUUGGUAGAGCCAAUGUCAGUUGCCUGUUGUAUUCCAGUUGUUG